Long non-coding RNA from Dreissena polymorpha, 5727 nucleotides. RefSeq lists it as uncharacterized. NCBI's taxonomy places the organism in Eukaryota, Metazoa, Mollusca, Bivalvia, Myida, Dreissenidae. The record is from RefSeq and is a predicted model, not a curated record. The transcript is spliced from 2 exons.
UUUGAAAAAAAUCGAAGAAAAUGCUAAUUUUAGAAAUUCAGCAGACGACAUUUUAGCAGACGACAAAUUUCCCAGCAUGCAAAGCAUUAAGCCCAGUUUUCUCAGAGUGGGACUCGAUUAUAUUAUCUUAGAUAUAGGUACCUGAAAAAUCUAUUUAUUUAUCCAUGUUCUCUUUAAUGUAUUUAUUUAUCUAUAUUUACAAUGCAGAAUUUUAGCAUCAAUAAAUGCAUAUUUUGAAUGUCUGUAUAGGUCAUUUUGAUCUGGAAUUAAUUGUUACAAUGCUGGAUCAGGGCAAACGACGCUAUAAGUUGAUAACAUGUUAUAUAGCAUAGUUUUGCAUUUAGCUGUUAUUUAAAAUGUCUAUGUGCUGUGCCUUUGCCAUUGUCAAAAAUCAUUCUUCACAGUCAGAUAUUUAUAUCCGGUAAGAGUCAAUUUAAAAAUUAUUCGAAGAUCUUGGAAAUAAUUAAAUGGUUUCGAGUUAAAAUAAUGGAUUAAACCUUUUGAAUACUUGCAGAUAAAAACAAAAUCAAGUUUUUUAUUAGGAUUUGAAUUGUUUAAAUAUAACUCAAAGUGCUCCUGUUAUUUUGUUAGUUUAAUGAACUCCUUGGCAAACCUCUAUAAAGUUUAACCCUUUCAGUGCGGGAACCGAAUUUUGAAGGCCUUUGCAAACAGUUUGGAUCCAGAUGAGACGCCACAGAACGUGGCGUCUCAUCAGGAUCCAAACUGUUUGCUAUUCUGAUAAUAUUCUUUGAAAAAAAUCGAAGAAAAUGCUAAUUUUAGAAAUUCAGCAGACGACAUUUUAGCAGACGACAAAUUUCCCAGCAUGCAAAGGGUUAAAUGAAAAUCAUGAGAUUCUCUUGUUUGAAAUCGCAAUUACAGUCUGUGGGAAGGGGGAAAUUUUUUAGAUUACAUGGAUGUGGUCAUUUGAAACUAUUAAAGGUCUUAAAGUGGACAAACAAAUGAUAGAUUAAAUAACAGGUUUUCCAUAAACAUAAGAUAACACAUUAUUUAGAUAGUUCAAUUUGUCACGUUCCUGUGUUUAUAUUGAUGACUUUCUGUACUCCAUUUAUCAAUUUAUUAUCCAUAUCUAAAUUGUUUAUGCAUGCCAUCACUGGGCAGUUUUUGUUACGCUGUUGAUUAUAGGUAUUCGGUCUGUCAUAGAUGAUUAUUAACCCAUUAAUGCCUAGCGUCUAUAAAAAAGGCCUUGGCAAACAACGUAGACCCAGAUGAGACGCCGCAUGAUGCGGUGUCUCAUCAGGGUGUGCGCUGUUUGCUUAAAGGAAUUUCUGUAAGAAAUAUUCUAAAUAUAGAAAUAGAUAUACAAGACAUCCCUUAUUUUGGAUAUAGAAGGAUGGGAGAGUCCACUAGGCAUAAAUGGGUUAACACUGAAUUCACCAAGGACACAAACUUUCCACACACAAAGUACUCUUACACUUUUUAACGUACACUUUCAAACUUGUGUCCUUGUUUUCCGGUUGCUGUUUGCACAUAGUAAUUUCACUUUACUGCCUCGAUGGUAAAGUGGUUAAAGGGGUUGACUUUCAAUCCAAUUGACACUGUUUAGAGCCUCAACGGGGUGCGCACUAUUUUGCUUUGCUUGUUCCCUCUCAGAAGCAAAGUGGAAAUGACUAUGUGCAAACAGCAUUAAAUUAGAACAGCCUGCGAGUAACUCUCAGUCUGUGCGGGUUUUAUGCUGUUUGCUGCUCAUCAGUUACUAAGCGUUGGAAAUGAAGCCUUUAAAACUUGAAUCAAGUAAGAAAGGUAUUCAAUUAAAUGUAAUUUUCUUAGGGACUAAAAAUGCCUGAAAAUACGCGUCUAAGUGGUAAAGCGUUAAUAUUUUUAUUUCCUCCAGUCUAUACUGGGGGACAUAUUGUUCUUGCCCUGUCUGCUUGUUUGUUGGUUUGUUUGCGUCAAACUUUAACAUUUGCCAUAACUUUUGCAAUAUUUUAAGUUAGCAACUUGAUAUUUGGCAUGCAUGUGUAUCUCAUGGAGCUGCACAUUUUGAGUGGUGAAAGGUCAAAGUCAUCCUUCAAGGUCAAAGAUCAUAUAUAUGGGGGGGACAAACACAUCUUGUCAUUUUGCUGGAGCGCUCAAGUUUUGUUGUUAAAAUUUAGCAAAUUGACUGUCGUCAAGAAUGACAAAAUGAGGGUGAACAAGUCGAUAAGACAUAAUUGAAUAAAGGGACUUCAAAGAUCUGACACUGAGUUAUCAAUCAUACAUCAUGUAGAUAUUAAAGAAUUUAUUCUGUUUGAUAUAAUUGUUUAAGAAUGUUUCAGUAGAUAUGAAAUUGUGAAACCAUAAGUGUGAUAAGUUAUUUGAGUGUUACAAGUUUAACACGUUGUUUCACAGUGUCAAGAUUAACCCUUUGCAUGCUGGGAAAUUUGUCGUCUGCAAAAAUGUUGUCUGCUGAAUUUAUAAAAUUAGCAUUUUCUUUGAUUUUUUUCAAAGAAUACUAUCAGAAUAGCAAAUAGUUUGGAUCCUGAUGAGACGCCACGUUCUGUGGUGUCUCAUCUGGAUCCAAACUGUUUGCAAAAGCUUUCAAAAUUCGGUUCCAGCACUGAAAGGGAUAAAUAAAUACUUUGAUGUAAAAGAACUGCAUUUUGACAUUAUAUAAUUGAAGUUAUGCAUACAGCAAAAAGUUGGUAAUGUUCGUAACAUACAAAUUGUUUCUUUCAAUGUAAAAUGAGUAUCCAAAAGAAAUGUAAUUAUUUUACUAUAAUUUAGUAUUAUAACAUAAUAAUAAUGUAUAUAUAUAUAUAUAAACAUGCAAAUAAUGUUUGCGUAAACAAUGUUUCUUUUAGAAGAGUUCGCUUUUGAAUAGGAUAUCUGUACUGUCCACAUGAUAUAUAAUUAUUUAUAUAUAUGAAUUUGAUAUUUAAGAAUCAAAAUGUGUGUUGUAUGCUGCCAUGUGCCUGUUUUUCAUUUCGCCUCAAACGAAUGUGUAAACUUUAAAAGUGAAGUGUUCAUUCAUUUGAUAGACAAUCUUUCAAUGCAUAUCAUCAUCAUUUAACAUUGUAAUCUUUUAAUGUCCUUAGUAAAUCCAACUUUUGUUGAAAAUUGUUGUGUUUUCGCUAAAUCAUUACUUUCGUUCCGUGUGAUAUCAGAACAGAAAAACAGGUCGACCAGGCAGCUAGUGUUGUCACUAAGAAGUUAUCUAUGAGUUGCUCUGGUAAAAUGGGCGUAAUUAAUGGGGCGUACAGUGUUUUUUAAGAUUAGCCUGUGCAAUUUGCACAGGCUAAUUUGAAAUGACACUUUCUACCUUAACUUGAUUUCCCAUAAGAAGAGUUAUUUCAACACAAAUUCCACAAAAGCAGAAAGUGUCUUUCCUGAUUAGCCUGCGUAUUCUGCACGGGCUAAUCUGGAGCAGCUUUCAGUACAUGCAUGAGGUCAAGUUUGCUUAGAACAAGGCUCUUAUGUUUUUGUUUCAAACAUUUUUUUUUUGCUCCUUACUUUGUUGUUACUAGUGACAGUGUAUUGGUUUGAUAUGAUGAAGUUAUUUGGAUAAAAGCUGUAAAAAUAAGCUGAGGAAAAUGGAGCUUGUUGUAUGAAGUCUCUUAUGGAAUAUCUGCUGGAGAAUAUUUUUAUUAUGCCCCCCUUCGAAGAAGAGGGGGUAUAUUGUUUUGCUCAUGUCGGUCCGUCCGUAUGUCUGUAUGUUCGUAUGUCUGUCCAUCAGAUGGUUUCCGCAUGAUAACUCAAGAACGCUUAGGCUAAGGAUCAUGAAACUUCGUAGGUACAUUGAUCAUGACUCGCAGAUGACCCCUAUUGAUUUUGAGGUCACUAGGUCAAAGGUCAUGGUGACACGAAAUAGUAAAAUGGUUUCCGGAUAAUAACUCGAGAACACUUAUGCCUAGGAUCAUGAAACUUUAUAGGUACAUUGAUCAUGACUCGCAGAUGACCCCUAUUGAUUUUCAGGUCACUAGGUCAAAGGUCAAGGUGACCCAAAAUAGUUAAAUGGUUUCCGGAUGAUAACUCGCAGAUGACCCUAUUGAUUUUCAGGUCACUAAGUCAAAGGUCAUGGUGACCCGAAAUAGUAAAAUGGUUUCCGGAUGAUAACUCAAGAACGCUUAUGCCUAGGAUCAUGAAACUUCAUAGGUACAUUGAUCAUGACUCGCAGAUGACCCCUAUUGAUUUUCAUAUCACAAGGUAAAAGGUCAAGGUCACGGUGACCUGAAAUAGUAAAAUGGUUUCCGGAUGAUAACUCAAGAAUGCUUAUGCCUAGGAUCAUGAAACUUCAUAGGUACAUUGAUCAUUACUCGCAGAUGACCCCUAAUGGUUUUCAGGUCACUAGGUCAAAGCGUCAAGGUCACGGUGACUCAACUUAGAAAAAUGGUUUCCGGAUGAUAACUCAAGAACGAUUACGCCUAGGAUCAUGAAACUUCAUAGGUUCAUUGAUCAUGACUCUCAGAUGACCCCUAUUGACUUUCAGGUCACUAGGUCAAAGGUCAAGGUCACAGUGACUUGACACAGUAAAAUGGUUUCCAGAUGAUAACACAAGAAAGCUUACGCCUACGAUCAUGGAACUUCAUAGGUACAUUGAUCAUGACUCACACAUGACCCCUAUUGAUUUUCAGGUCACUAGGUCAAAGGUCAAGGUCACAGUGCCAAAAAACGUAUUCACACAAUGGCUGCCACUACAACUGACAGCCCAUAUGGGGGGCAUGCAUGUUUUACAAACAGCCCUUGUUCAUAUAUAAAAAAAAUAUUUUGUAUAAAGUGAAGUUUUAUAUGUAAAGUAUUUUUUACAGCAUGCGUUUUAUGCUUUAUUUAUUACUGUAAUGUAGCUGGUAUGAAGACCAGCUGCUUCCAGUACAUUUGAUAUUUUGAAUAAUAGUUUCUUUAAGGACAUGCAAUGUUUUAUAAAAAUGCCAAAAUUUUGUCUGAAAUUUGUCAAUUAACACUAUGUGGUAUUAUACCCUUUUAUUUAAUAGUUAAAUUAAGUGCCAAAAUAAAGAUCUAUGGGCAAAACAAGUUAAUAAAAAGGCUCCAUGUUCUUUAAAAAGAAAAUGGUAAAGAACAAUGAUGAAAAUAUAAUCUUUAUUAAAAGGAUAUUUAAAUUUGGAAGUGAUAGAUGUCUUUGUUAUUUUCUUAUGAUUAACUUAAAUGAUCAAUCAACUAUUUAAAUUGAUCGGGUUUACUUUCGAUUUUUGUAUUUGAUCACAGGCGAAGAUGAGAUGAGAUGAGCUUUCGAUUUUUUGUGCAGUUUUGAGUUUACUUAUUGUGAUUUUGCCGCAGCUUUUUGCCAAAUCAAUCGCUUUAUUCAGAAGCAAUUUGAAGAAACUUAACCCAUUUAUGCCUAGUGGACUCUCCCAUCCCUCUAAAUUGGAUCAAUUUAUUUCCAAAAGUAGGGAUGUCUAGAAUAUUUAUUUCUAUAUUUAAAAUAUUUCUUACAGAAAUUCCUUUAAGCAAACAGCAUAGACCCAGAUGAGACGCCGCAUGAUGCGGCGUCUCAUCUGGUCUAUGCUGUUUGCCAAGGCAUUUUUUCUAGACGCUAGGCAUAAAUGGGUCAAGUACAGCUUGAUUUACACACUUGUAGUGUAAAAUUAUAUAUACAGGCUGUUAUAUCCCCAGUAGGUAUUUGUGUUAGACAUGCUAAACAAGGUCUUAGAGUCUUGAAACAUAGAAUUCUCAAUGUUUGCCUGUUUAUAACCAUAAAGAUGCAUUUAUUUCGUAUUGUUAAUUCUGUUGCUAACACUUCUUUACUUUUUGUCAUUAAAAUAUAAAGCUCUG